RNAcentral lists this ribosomal RNA (168 nucleotides) under uncultured bacterium. RNAcentral describes it as "partial 16S rRNA". It matches the Rfam family "Bacterial small subunit ribosomal RNA", at positions 355 to 511 of the family's 1533-position model. The record is from RNAcentral.
UAGGGAAUCUUCGGCAAUGGGGGGCAACCCCUGACCGAGCAACGCCGCGUGAGUGAAGAAGGUUUUUCGGAUCGUAAAGCUCUGUUGUAAGAGAAGAACGUGUGUGAGAGUGGAAAGUUCACACAGNGACGGUAACUUACCAGAAAGGGACGGCUAACUACGUGCCAG